RNAcentral lists this small RNA (856 nucleotides) under Pan troglodytes (chimpanzee). Its description in RNAcentral is "retained intron". Lineage: Eukaryota; Metazoa; Chordata; Mammalia; Primates; Hominidae. The record is from RNAcentral.
GCACCGGGGGCCAAGUGAGCCGUGCUAGUCAGGUGAGCUGGGUCUGGCGGGGAGGUGUGUGUAUGGGGCUCUUUCCUCCUUGGGCCCAGGGCUACUUCCCCCUCCCGCUCUUCUACAGGUCAGCAACUCCGACCACAAAUCCUCCAAAUCCCCAGAGUCCGACUGGAGCAGCUGGGAAGCUGAGGGCUCCUGGGAACAGGGCUGGCAGGAGCCAAGCUCCCAGGAGCCACCUCCUGACGGUACACGGCUGGCCAGCGAGUAUAACUGGGGUGGCCCAGAGUCCAGCGACAAGGGCGACCCCUUCGCUACCCUGUUUGCACGUCCCAGCACCCAGGUACCCAGCACAGGUCUGGCGAGAGGGUAGAGAUGGUGGACCUCAGCCAGAAGUGGGUCCCACUGCAGCCCACACUUCUCUUUACAGCCGAGGCCGGACUCUUGGGGUGAGGACAACUGGGAGGGCCUCGAGACUGACAGUCGUAAGUGCUUCCCCUGGGUGGGCUGAAGACUAGGGCUCCCCGACUAGCCCGCCCCUACAGGCCCCCGGCAGGCACUGGCUGGAGAGCUGAGACCGGGGCUCCCCUUCCUGACGCCAGGACAGGUCAAGGCUGAGCUGGCCCGGAAGAAGCGCGAGGAGCGGCGGCGGGAGAUGGAGGCCAAACGCGCCGAGAGGAAGGUGGCCAAGGGCCCCAUGAAGCUGGGAGCCCGGAAGCUGGACUGAACCGUGGCGGUGGCCCUUCCUGGCUGCGGAGAGCCCGCCCCGCAGAUGUAUUUAUUGUACAAACCAUGUGAGCCCGGCCGGCCCGGCCAGGCCAUCUCACGUGUACAUAAUCAGAGCCACAAUAAAUUCUAUUUCACA